This 73-nucleotide transfer RNA is filed under the name Trichonephila inaurata madagascariensis. RNAcentral's name for it is "tRNA-Trp". It matches the Rfam family "tRNA". Rfam says of the family: Transfer RNA (tRNA) molecules are approximately 80 nucleotides in length. Their secondary structure includes four short double-helical elements and three loops (D, anti-codon, and T loops). The record is from RNAcentral. Lineage: Eukaryota; Metazoa; Arthropoda; Arachnida; Araneae; Nephilidae.
GGCCCGGUGGCGCAACGGUAGCGCGUCUGACCCCAGAUCAGAAGGUUGCGUGUUCGAAUCACGUCCGGGCACA